RNAcentral lists this ribosomal RNA (243 nucleotides) under uncultured bacterium. RNAcentral describes it as "partial 16S ribosomal RNA". It matches the Rfam family "Bacterial small subunit ribosomal RNA", at positions 111 to 354 of the family's 1533-position model. The record is from RNAcentral.
UAACGCGUGAGUAAUCUACCUCUACCUGGGGGACAACAGCUGGAAACGGCUGCUAAUACCGCAUAGGACCACAGGCACACAAGUGCUAGGGGUGAAAGAUUUAUCGGAUAGAGAUGAGCUCGCGUAGCAUUAGUUAGUUGGUGGGGUAACGGCCUACCAAGACUACGAUGCUUAGCCGAUCUGAGAGGAUGAUCGGCCACACUGGAACUGAGAUACGGUCCAGACUCCUACGGAAGGCAGCAG